This 563-nucleotide ribosomal RNA is filed under the name uncultured bacterium. RNAcentral describes it as "bacterial SSU rRNA". It matches the Rfam family "Bacterial small subunit ribosomal RNA", at positions 338 to 916 of the family's 1533-position model. The record is from RNAcentral.
CCUACGGGAGGCAGCAGUGGGGAAUCUUGCGCAAUGGGCGAAAGCCUGACGCAGCAACGCCGCGUGCGGGAAGAAGGCUUUCGGGCUGUAAACCGCUUUCAGCAGGAACGAAAAUGACGGUACCUGCAGAAGAAGGAGCGGCCAACUAUGUGCCAGCAGCCGCGGUGAUACAUAGGCUUCAAGCGUUGUCCGGAUUUAUUGGGCGUAAAGAGUUCGUAGGCGGUCGAGUAAGUCGGGUGUGAAAAUUCUGGGCUCAACCCAGAGACGCCACCCGAUACUGCUUGACUUGAGUUCGAUAGGGGAGUGGGGAAUUCCUAGUGUAGCGGUGAAAUGCGCAGAUAUUAGGAGGAACACCGGUGGCGAAGGCGCCACUCUGGAUCGAUACUGACGCUGAGGAACGAAAGCAUGGGUAGCAAACAGGAUUAGAUACCCUGGUAGUCCAUGCCAUAAACGGUGGGCACUAGGUGUGGGUUUCUAUUAACGAAAUCCGCGCCGUCGCUAACGCAUUAAGUGCCCCGCCUGGGGAGUACGGUCGCAAAGCUAAAACUCAAAGGAAUUGACGG